RNAcentral lists this small RNA (3425 nucleotides) under Pan troglodytes (chimpanzee). RNAcentral describes it as "processed transcript". Lineage: Eukaryota; Metazoa; Chordata; Mammalia; Primates; Hominidae. The record is from RNAcentral.
AAAAUUAGCCGGGCAUGGUGGCGGGCACCUGUAGUCCCAGCUACUCGGGAGGCUGACACAGGAGAAUCGCUUGAACCCGGGAGGCAGAGGUUGCAGUGAGCCAAGAUCGUGCCACUGCACACCAGCCUGGGCAACAGAGCGACUCCAUCUCAAAAAAAAAAAAAAAAAAGGAAUCAUGUUUCUAUGAUAACAGGAGUGAAGAAGGAAAAAGGAUAAGUGGAAGCAAAUGUGUUUGUAGGUUUGUUGACUGCAGAUGUAUUUAAUUUUGAGGAAACAGUUUAUAGUCAUCAUAUGUCUCCAGUCUCCACCAAGCACUGUUUGGUAGCAGUUGGUACUAGAGGACCCAAAGUACAACUUUGUGACUUGAAGUCUGGAUCCUGUUCUCACAUUCUACAGGGUCACAGACAAGAAAUAUUAGCAGUUUCCUGGUCUCCACGUUAUGACUAUAUCUUGGCAACGGCAAGUGCUGACAGUAGAGUAAAAUUAUGGGAUGUGAGAAGAGCAUCAGGAUGUUUGAUUACUCUUGAUCAACAUAAUGGGAAAAAGUCACAAGCUGUUGAAUCAGCAAACACUGCUCAUAAUGGGAAAGUUAAUGGCUUAUGUUUUACAAGUGAUGGACUUCACCUCCUCACUGUUGGUACAGAUAAUCGAAUGAGGCUCUGGAAUAGUUCCAAUGGAGAAAACACACUUAUCCCCGCCGGAAGUAUAGGAAGAGAGCAAGCGGAUUCGAACCUAUCUGCUUUCAAGCUGGUCAUGAUGAUGAAACUUAGAAACAAAAAUGAAAAGCCAGGUAAAGGUUCCAAGGGCUGUAAGAAGUCUGCAAAACAAAAUGGGAAGAAAGCAACCUCCAAAGUGCCCUCUUCUCCUCAGUUUGUUCACUCCAAUGAUCAUGCCAAUCGAGAGGCUGAAAUAAAGAAGAGGGUUGAGGAGAUGAGGGAGAAGCAGCAAGCUGCCCAGGAGCAAGAAAGACAAAAACGCAGGUCUAUCAAGAGCUACUGUGAGGAUAUCCUAAGACGCCAGGAGGAGUUUCAGUGUAAGGAAGAAGUUUUGCAGGAAUUAAAUAUGUUUCCUCAGCCGGAUGACGAGGCCACUAUGAAGGCUUAUUACAACGAGUUCCGUGAGGUGGUAGAAUACUCUGAUGUGAUUCUGGAAGUCCUGGAUGCCAGAGACCCAUUAGGCUGCUGCUGCUGCUUCCAAAUGGGGGAGGCUAUCCUAUGGGCAGAAGGCAACAAGAAGCUGGUCCUUCUUGAAAAAGAUUGACCUGGACCCCAAGGAGGUUGUGAAGUGGCUGGAUUACCUUCGGAAUGAGUUGCCAACUGUGGCUUUCAAGGCCAGGACCCAGCAUCAGGUCAGCUUUGGAGCUGAAAACCUCAUGAGGGUUCUGGGGAACUAUUGCCGCCUUGGUGAAGUGCGCACCCACAUCCAUAUGGACGUUGUAGGCCUUCCCAAUAUUGGGAAGAGCAGCCUGAUUAAAAGCCUGAAGCACAGCCAUGCAUGCAGUGUGGGAGCCAUUCCUGGGGUCACAAAAUUUCAUGCAGGAGGUCUACCUGGACAAGUUCAUCCGGCUGCUGGAUGCUCCAGCCAUUGUUCCAGGGCCCAGCUCAGAGGUGGGCACCAUCCUGCAUAACUGCAUCCACAUCUAGAGGCUGGCAGACCCCAUGACCCCAGUGGAGACCAUCUUGCAGUGCUGCAACCUGGAGGAGAUUUGCAACUAUUACCUUCUCUCUGGAUACCAGACUACUGAGCACUUUCUGACGGCAGUGGCCCACCAUUUGGGGAAGAAGAGAGACUUACACAGUCAGGAGCAGGCAGCCAAAACUGUCCUAGCUGACUGGGUGAGCGGGAAGAUCAGCUUCUAUAGACCACCACCACCCACUCACACUCUGCCUGCCCAUCUCAGUGCUGAGAAUUAAGGAAAUGACCAAGGUCUUUGACAUUGAGGAUACCGAGCAGGUCAAUGAAGACACCAUGGAAUGCUUGGCCACUGGAGAAUCUGAUGAGCUGUUGGGUGACACAGACCCACUCAAAAUGGAGAUCAAGUUGCUCCAUUCUCCGAUGAUGGAAAUAGCAGAUGCCAUUGAAGAUAAAGCUACUGUGUAUAAGAUUGGAGAUCUCACUGGUUAUUGCACCAAUCCGAAUCGUCAUCAGAUGGGGUGGGCUAAACUCAAUGUAGACCACCACCCUAAAAAAAACAGUAAGGUGGAUGUGUGCCCAGUGGACUGCUGCCCAGUACUGCAGAGGAUCAUGGAGAUGGACCCCCUACAACAGGGCCAGGCUCUGGCAUCCUCCCUGAAGAGUGAACUAUGGAAAAGUUUGUAAUAACAGUAAAAAAGGAUUGAAAUUCACUGUCUCCUGUGGCUGCAGUUCAGAAUUUGUUUUUGUACCAUAUGGUAGCACCAUUGCUGUUUAUACAGUUUACUCUGGAGAACAGAUAACUAUGCUUAAGGGACAUUAUAAAACUGUUGACUGCUGUGUAUUUCAGUCAAAUUUCCAGGAACUUUAUAGUGGUAGCAGAGACUGCAACAUUCUGGCUUGGGUUCCAUCCUUAUAUGAACCAGUUCCUGAUGAUGAUGAGACUACAACAAAAUCACAAUUAAAUCCGGCCUUUGAAGAUGCCUGGAGCAGCAGUGAUGAAGAAGGAUGAAUAUCACCUUUAGUACCUUUGUGUCUCUGCUGAAACUUUUUAAAUGAGACUGUGUUUUUUUCAACUGUACGGUCUAUUCCUGACAGCUAAAUUAGCCCUAAAUGUGGGUAAUAUUUUUCCUCAUGUUUUAAAAUGAGGUUAAUAUUUGCAUAAAAUCCUAAAACAGACUUCUGUAUAGUUUAUUUAGUCAAAAUGUGUUCCUUGAUCCCAGAUGUUGUGGCCUGGGAAAGCCCUCAUUGCUACAGUACAAGUAACACAAGUCGUUGUACCUCAAUUGUGACCUUCAGCAGAUUUUAUGAACUAUAAGAUGCAGUCUCAGAGGAUCAGCAAGUGGAGGCCAUCAGUAUUGACUUUCUCUUACUUGCUGUACUAUCAGCCUGCUCGUUUCCACCUUCAAGAAUGAUUUUGCCAAGAAUGAUUAUAUCAAAAAUAGUAGUUGCAAUGGUAACAUCAAAAUUAUUUUAUUCUUUCUUCUUCAUGUAUUCACAUUUUUCAAUGGUUUCAUUUAAUUAACCAUGCUUUAUGUUAAACAUUUUGGGGCUCAAUGUCUCCUACUAUCCAAAAUGUGCAUCACAGGAGGCUUUUAACUUUGUGAAAAUCCCAUGUUUGCUUUAUUUUAUUUUAAUGUCAGAAGGCGGUUUGCACUAAUGCUUGAACUCUUUUUCUAUGAAACUCAUUAAGGUAUGACCAAAUCCUGCCUCAUUAAUUCAAGCAGAAAAUAUCCUGGCAGGGAAUCUGGCUUAAACAUGAAAUGCUGUAAUAAAAUUUCUAUGUUAUUGUC